AACGAACGCUGGCGGCAUGCCUAACACAUGCAAGUCGAACGAUGCCUUCGGGCAUAGUGGCGCACGGGUGCGUAACGCGUGGGAAUCUGCCUUUCGGUUCGGAAUAACUCAGGGAAACUUGAGCUAAUACCGGAUAACGUCGCAAGACCAAAGAUUUAUCACCGAAAGAUGAGCCUGAGUAGGAUUAGCGAGUUGGUGAGGUAAAGGCUCACCAAGGCGACGAUCCUUAGCUGGUCUGAGAGGAUGAUCAGCCACACUGGGACUGAGACACGGCCCAGACUCCUACGGGAGGCAGCAGUGGGGAAAAUUGGACAGGGGGCGAAAGCCUGAACCGGCAAGGCCGCGUGAGUGAUGAAGGCCUUAGGGUUGUAAAGCUCUUUUACCCGGGAAGAUAAUGACGGUACCGGGAGAAUAAGCCCCGGCUAACUCCGU
RNAcentral lists this ribosomal RNA (432 nucleotides) under uncultured bacterium. RNAcentral describes it as "partial 16S ribosomal RNA". It matches the Rfam family "Bacterial small subunit ribosomal RNA", at positions 29 to 506 of the family's 1533-position model. The record is from RNAcentral.